GGUGAAGAACGUAGCGAAAUGCGAUACGUAGUGUGAAUUGCAGAAUUCAGUGAGUCAUCGAAUCUUUGAACGCACAUUGCACCUCUCGGUAUUCCGGGAGGUAUGCCUGUUCGAGCGUCAUUUGUACCCUCAAGCUCUGCUUGGUGUUGGGUGUUUGUUCCGCCUCUGUGUGUGAACUCGCCUCAAAACAAUUGGCAGCCGGCGUACUUGUUUCGGAGCGCAGCACAUUUUGCGAUCCAGAUCAACGUACAGCGGCAUCCAAGAAGCCUUAUUUAACGCUCUUGACCUCGGAUCAGGUAGGGAUACCCGCUGAACUUAAGCAUAUCAAUAAGCGGAGGA
Molecule: unclassified non-coding RNA, 339 nt
Filed under: soil metagenome
Description: partial contains 5.8S ribosomal RNA, internal transcribed spacer 2, and large subunit ribosomal RNA
Rfam family: 5.8S ribosomal RNA (bases 3-120)
Source: RNAcentral